Molecule: unclassified non-coding RNA, 227 nt
Filed under: Hevea brasiliensis (rubber tree)
Lineage: Eukaryota; Viridiplantae; Streptophyta; Magnoliopsida; Malpighiales; Euphorbiaceae
Source: RNAcentral
AGGAACCCCACCCCAUUCAAAAAUACGAUUCAAGGAUCCAUUUCUCUCAAGUCUCAACUCAUGCAGUCAACACUCGCCGAUUCCCUCACUGUCAUCGCCCCUCAAGCUCGUCGUCCCUCACCCAUCGAGCUCGGAUAGAAUCCUUACCCCUUAAGCUCGCCACUCGUCCUUCGGAUCUCUAGCUUCCUGCUUCUUUUCAGCUCAGAUUUCUUUAACUGGAAAAGGGU